GUUUCAACCAGUGCAUCACAACCGGACAAAGGCCGAGGUAUGUGCUGUCCUGUCUGUGGGUUCCCCUACUUUUUUGGAAGAGUAUAUAAUGACUGAUGAGACGUUCCACGAACAGCACCACAGAUUGUGAGAAGAACAUCUAUGUGAAUAUUUUCAAGCUGCUGGGACAGAUGCAAUGUACAAUUAUCCCAAAUUAUAUCAGCGCAGUCAAAGAGAGGAAGGAUAAAAGUGCUGAAUAUUUCUUCCAACUUCGGAAACUAGACUCGCCAGCUAUAAAGCGGCCAUAUCUAGGUUGCAAAAUGACCCAAAAUAUUACUUUUCUCAGCUCAUGUAAUGAUCAUAUCUUGAAUUAAAUGCCUAUAAAAAGAAA
Gigantopelta aegis is the source of this 370-nucleotide long non-coding RNA. RefSeq lists it as uncharacterized. The record is from RefSeq and is a predicted model, not a curated record. The transcript is spliced from 2 exons. Lineage: Eukaryota; Metazoa; Mollusca; Gastropoda; Neomphalida; Peltospiridae.